CAACUACAUCUUUCUCAUGCACAUCAGCUCAUCCUGGAGGACCUUCUCAAACUAUGUUUUCUUUAGAGGAGGUUGAACAAAUAUUAGAGCAAAACCGAAUCAAAAUGAAACAAGACAUGGAGCAAAUGCAAGAGCAAAUGCAAGAGCAAAUGCGAGUGCAGAUAGAAAAACAGAUAAAAGAUCAAAUGAAAUCAUUGAAGAACAAAAAUAUAUCUUCACCGCAUAACACAACUGCAGAUUCAGAUGGUUCAACAAAUUCAUAGAUUAGUUUUAAAUUUUAUAAAUAUUGUUAAGUAUUAUGGAUUUCUUUUUAAUUUUAUGAACAUUGU
RNAcentral lists this long non-coding RNA (329 nucleotides) under Manihot esculenta (cassava). RNAcentral's name for it is "long non-coding RNA (MESC_LNC006594)". Lineage: Eukaryota; Viridiplantae; Streptophyta; Magnoliopsida; Malpighiales; Euphorbiaceae. The record is from RNAcentral.